This 1347-nucleotide ribosomal RNA is filed under the name uncultured organism. Its description in RNAcentral is "SSU rRNA". It matches the Rfam family "Bacterial small subunit ribosomal RNA", at positions 28 to 1398 of the family's 1533-position model. The record is from RNAcentral.
GACGAACGCUGGCGGCGUGCUUAACACAUGCAAGUCGAACGGAAAGGCCCGCUUGCGGGUACUCGAGUGGCGAACGGGUGAGUAACACGUGGGCAACCUGCCCUCAGCUUUGGGAUAACUCCCGGAAACGGGUGCUAAUACCGAAUAUUGACAUUUCCUCGCAUGGGGUUUGUUGAAAGUUUUUCGGCUGGGGAUGGGCCCGCGGCCUAUCAGCUUGUUGGUGGGGUGAUGGCCUACCAAGGCGACGACGGGUAGCCGGCCUGAGAGGGCGAUCGGCCACACUGGAACUGAGACACGGUCCAGACUCCUACGGGAGGCAGCAGUGGGGAAUAUUGCGCAAUGGGCGGAASUGACGCAGCAACGCCGCGUGAGGGAUGAAGGUCUUCGGAUUGUAAACCUCUUUCAGUAGGGACGAAUUUAGACGGUACCUGCAGAAGAAGCACCGGCCAACUACGUGCCAGCAGCCGCGGUAAUACGUAGGGUGCGAGCGUUGUCCGGAAUUAUUGGGCGUAAAGAGCUCGUAGGCGGUUCGUCGCGUCGAAUGUGAAAUCCCGGGGCUCAACUCCGGGUCUGCAUUCGAUACGGGCGGACUAGAGUUCGGUAGGGGAGACUGGAAUUCCUGGUGUAGCGGUGAAAUGCGCAGAUAUCAGGAGGAACACCGGUGGCGAAGGCGGGUCUCUGGGCCGAUACUGACGCUGAGGAGCGAAAGCGUGGGGAGCGAACAGGAUUAGAUACCCUGGUAGUCCACGCCGUAAACGGUGGGCGCUAGGUGUGGGGGACUUCCACGCUCUCUGUGCCGCAGCUAACGCAUUAAGCGCCCCGCCUGGGGAGUACGGCCGCAAGGCUAAAACUCAAAGGAAUUGACGGGGGCCCGCACAAGCGGCGGAGCAUGCUGAUUAAUUCGAUGCAACGCGAAGAACCUUACCAAGGCUUGACAUACACCGGAAACUUCCAGAAAUGGUUGCCCCGCAAGGUCGGUGUACAGGUGGUGCAUGGUUGUCGUCAGCUCGUGUCGUGAGAUGUUGGGUUAAGUCCCGCAACGAGCGCAACCCUCGUCUUAUGUUGCCAGCACGUCAUGGUGGGRACUCAUAAGAGACUGCCGGGGUCAACUCGGAGGAAGGUGGGGAUGAGGUCAAAUAAUCAUGCCCCUUAUGUCUUGGGCUUCAAGCAUGCUACAAUGGCCGGUACAAAGGGCUGCGAUACCGCGAGGUGGAGCGAAUCCCAAAAAGCCGGUCUCAGUUCGGAUUGGGGUCUGCAACUCGACCCCAUGAAGUCGGAGUCGCUAGUAAUCGCAGAUCAGCAACGCUGCGGUGAAUACGUUCCCGGGCCUUGUACUCACCGCCCGUC